GAAAACCACUGGCUUGGUCCAUACUCCUCGUCAUCUACGGCUUUAGGUGCAGUACCAAGUGCUGUACAGGCAUUGUCUUCGCGGAUGCACCUGCUGCGACCUCACAUUAAAAGGAGAAACGGACGCUGAUCAGGGAGGAAAAGACCCUGCCCGAGGACCCUGGAAGAGCUGGUUCGCAAAGUGUGAUCCCUGGAACAGCAGCAUUAAGAAAGGCAGCUUGUCAGAAAGGCACCUUCUGGAUUCCUAACCCAGACCCCAGAAGCUCAGGGGGUGAACCCAGCUUUCUGUGUUUUAACAAGCCCUCCAGGUGACUCUGAUGCUUGGUAGAGUUUGAGAACCAGUGGGCGACAGCAUGGUGUCAUAGGGCUUGAGUUUGCAUAGUAAAAAUAUCCACAGCAGCUGAUGCUAACUGGGCUGAUUACUGCCCGGCUCUGAGCCCGGUGCUGAGCUACGCACUUUACAUGAACCAUCGAGUGCAAGGUUCUCCUCCUGCCUGAACACUGGAGCCAAUGAGGAUCUUUUGAAACAUCCUGAUGCUUGGGCCCAACUCAGACAAACAGAAUGCAGAUGGCCUGGCGGAGAUCUAGGCAAAUUGGUACUUUUUAAAAUCUCCCCAGGAGAUUCUGAUUCACAGGGAGGGUUCAGAGCACACUUUUGGUCCCAUCUCUGAUGCCCUUCAGCUGUGUGGCUGUGGGAACAGUGCCAAAGCUCACCCUCCCAGCCUUGCUUUCUGCAUCUGUAAAAUGGGGAUGACGAUCCUAGCCUCUCACCUCCCAAGGUUGUCACAUGCAAUAAAUUAAAUAAAAGAUGUAAAAUCUUA
RNAcentral lists this long non-coding RNA (820 nucleotides) under Homo sapiens (human). Its description in RNAcentral is "HSALNT0312498". The record is from RNAcentral. Lineage: Eukaryota; Metazoa; Chordata; Mammalia; Primates; Hominidae.